This 1522-nucleotide ribosomal RNA is filed under the name metagenome. RNAcentral's name for it is "bacterial SSU rRNA". It matches the Rfam family "Bacterial small subunit ribosomal RNA". The record is from RNAcentral.
AGAGUUUGAUCAUGGCUCAGAUUGAACGCUGGCGGCAGGCCUAACACAUGCAAGUCGAACGGUAACAGGAAGAAGCUUGCUUCUUUGCUGACGAGUGGCGGACGGGUGAGUAAUGUCUGGGAAACUGCCUGAUGGAGGGGGAUAACUACUGGAAACGGUAGCUAAUACCGCAUAACGUCGCAAGACCAAAGAGGGGGACCUUCGGGCCUCUUGCCAUCGGAUGUGCCCAGAUGGGAUUAGCUAGUAGGUGGGGUAACGGCUCACCUAGGCGACGAUCCCUAGCUGGUCUGAGAGGAUGACCAGCCACACUGGAACUGUGACACGGUCCAGACUCCUACGGGAGGCAGCAGUGGGGAAUAUUGCACAAUGGGCGCAAGCCUGAUGCAGCCAUGCCGCGUGUAUGAAGAAGGCCUUCGGGUUGUAAAGUACUUUCAGCGGGGAGGAAGGGAGUAAAGUUAAUACCUUUGCUCAUUGACGUUACCCGCAGAAGAAGCACCGGCUAACUCCGUGCCAGCAGCCGCGGUAAUACGGAGGGUGCAAGCGUUAAUCGGAAUUACUGGGCGUAAAGCGCACGCAGGCGGUUUGUUAAGUCAGAUGUGAAAUCCCCGGGCUCAACCUGGGAACUGCAUCUGAUACUGGCAAGCUUGAGUCUCGUAGAGGGGGGUAGAAUUCCAGGUGUAGCGGUGAAAUGCGUAGAGAUCUGGAGGAAUACCGGUGGCGAAGGCGGCCCCCUGGACGAAGACUGACGCUCAGGUGCGAAAGCGUGGGGAGCAAACAGGAUUAGAUACCCUGGUAGUCCACGCCGUAAACGAUGUCGACUUGGAGGUUGUGCCCUUGAGGCGUGGCUUCCGGAGCUAACGCGUUAAGUCGACCGCCUGGGGAGUACGGCCGCAAGGUUAAAACUCAAAUGAAUUGACGGGGGCCCGCACAAGCGGUGGAGCAUGUGGUUUAAUUCGAUGCAACGCGGAGAACCUUACCUGGUCUUGACAUCCACAGAACUUUCCAGAGAUGGAUUGGUGCCUUCGGGAACUGUGAGACAGGUGCUGCAUGGCUGUCGUCAGCUCGUGUUGUGAAAUGUUGGGUUAAGUCCCGCAACGAGCGCAACCCUUAUCUUUUGUUGCCAGCGGUCCGGCCGGGAACUCAAAGGAGACUGCCAGUGAUAAACUGGAGGAAGGUGGGGAUGACGUCAGGUCAUCAUGGCCCUUACGACCAGGGCUACACACGUGCUACAAUGGCGCAUACAAAGAGAAGCGACCUCGCGAGAGCAAGCGGACCUCAUAAAGUGCGUCGUAGUCCGGAUUGGAGUCUGCAACUCGACUCCAUGAAGUCGGAAUCGCUAGUAAUCGUGGAUCAGAAUGCCACGGUGAAUACGUUCCCGGGCCUUGUACACACCGCCCGUCACACCAUGGGAGUGGGUUGCAAAAGAAGUAGGUAGCUUAACCUUCGGGAGGGCGCUUACCACUUUGUGAUUCAUGACUGGGGUGAAGUCGUAACAAGGUAACCGUAGGGGAACCUGCGGUUG